AUUAAAUGGCUGAAGAAUAGGCGAUAGAUUGUAAAUCUAUUUAUAAGAAUAAAUUCUUUUUAAUCA
This 66-nucleotide transfer RNA is filed under the name Anastrepha ludens (Mexican fruit fly). RNAcentral's name for it is "tRNA-Tyr". It matches the Rfam family "tRNA". From Rfam's summary of the family: Transfer RNA (tRNA) molecules are approximately 80 nucleotides in length. Their secondary structure includes four short double-helical elements and three loops (D, anti-codon, and T loops). The record is from RNAcentral. Lineage: Eukaryota; Metazoa; Arthropoda; Insecta; Diptera; Tephritidae.